CAGCAGCCGCGGGAAUACGUAGGGUGCAAGCGUUAAUCGGAAUUACUGGGCGUAAAGCGUGCGCAGGCGGUUUGUUAAGACAGAUGUGAAAUCCCCGGGCUCAACCUGGGAACUGCAUUUGUGACUGGCAAGCUAGAGUAUGGCAAAGGGGGGUGGAAUUCCGCGUGUAGCAGUGAAAUGCGUAGAUAUGCGGAGGAACACCGAUGGCGAAGGCAGCCCCCUGGGCCAAUACUGACGCUCAUGCACGAAAGCGUGGGAGCAAACAGGAUUAGAUACCCGAGUAGUCCCUGUCUCUUAUACC
RNAcentral lists this ribosomal RNA (301 nucleotides) under uncultured bacterium. RNAcentral's name for it is "partial 16S ribosomal RNA". It matches the Rfam family "Bacterial small subunit ribosomal RNA", at positions 509 to 808 of the family's 1533-position model. The record is from RNAcentral.